UUAGCGGCGGACGGGUGAGUAACACGUGGGUAACCUGCCUGUAAGAUUGGGAUAACUCCGGGAAACCGGAGCUAAUACCGGAUAACAUUUYGAACCGCAUGGUUCRAAAUUGAAAGAUGGUUUCGGCUAUCACUUACAGAUGGACCCGCGGCGCAUUAGCUAGUUGGUGAGGUAACGGCUCACCAAGGCAACGAUGCGUAGCCGACCUGAGAGGGUGAUCGGCCACACUGGGACUGANACACGGCCCANACUCCUACGGGAGGCAGCAGUAGGGAAUCUUCCGCAAUGGACGAAAGUCUGACGGANCAACGCCNCGUGAACGAUGAAGGNCUUCGGGUCGUAAAGUUCUGUUGUUAGGGAAGAACAAGUACCAGANUAACUGCUGGUACCUUGACGGUACCUAACCAGAAAGCCACGGCUAACUACNUGCCAGCAGCCGCGGUAAUACGUAGGUGGCAAGCGUUGUCCGGAAUUAUUGGGCGUAAAGCGCGCGCAGGCGGUUUCUUAAGUCUGAUGUGAAAGCCCACGGCUCAACCGUGGAGGGUCAUUGGAAACUGGGGAACUUGAGUGCAGAAGANGAGAGUGGAAUUCCACGUGUAGCGGUGAAAUGCGUAGAGAUGUGGAGGAACACCAGUGGCGAANGCGACUCUCUGGUCUGUAACUGACGCUGANGCGCGAAAGCGUGGGGAGCGAACAGGAUUAGAUACCCUGGUAGUCCACGCCGUAAACGAUGAGUGCUAAGUGUUAGAGGGUUUCCGCCCUUUAGUGCUGCAGCAAACGCAUUAAGCACUCCGCCUGGG
This 800-nucleotide ribosomal RNA is filed under the name Bacillus sp. 1-C-236-1. Its description in RNAcentral is "bacterial SSU rRNA". It matches the Rfam family "Bacterial small subunit ribosomal RNA", at positions 92 to 877 of the family's 1533-position model. The record is from RNAcentral. Lineage: Bacteria; Bacillati; Bacillota; Bacilli; Caryophanales; Bacillaceae.